Molecule: ribosomal RNA, 1369 nt
Filed under: uncultured bacterium
Lineage: Bacteria
Description: bacterial SSU rRNA
Rfam family: Bacterial small subunit ribosomal RNA
Source: RNAcentral
GACGAACGCUGGCGGCGUGCCUAAUACAUGCAAGUAGAACGCUGAAGAGAGGAGCUUGCUCUUCUUGGAUGAGUUGCGAACGGGUGAGUAACGCGUAGGUAACCUGCCUUGUAGCGGGGGAUAACUAUUGGAAACGAUAGCUAAUACCGCAUAACAAUGGAUGACACAUGUCAUUUAUUUGAAAGGGGCAAUUGCUCCACUACAAGAUGGACCUGCGUUGUAUUAGCUAGUAGGUGAGGUAACGGCUCACCUAGGCGACGAUACAUAGCCGACCUGAGAGGGUGAUCGGCCACACUGGGACUGAGACACGGCCCAGACUCCUACGGGAGGCAGCAGUAGGGAAUCUUCGGCAAUGGGGGCAACCCUGACCGAGCAACGCCGCGUGAGUGAAGAAGGUUUUCGGAUCGUAAAGCUCUGUUGUAAGUCAAGAACGAGUGUGAGAGUGGAAAGUUCACACUGUGACGGUAGCUUACCAGAAAGGGACGGCUAACUACGUGCCAGCAGCCGCGGUAAUACGUAGGUCCCGAGCGUUGUCCGGAUUUAUUGGGCGUAAAGCGAGCGCAGGCGGUUUGAUAAGUCUGAAGUUAAAGGCUGUGGCUCAACCAUAGUUCGCUUUGGAAACUGUCAAACUUGAGUGCAGAAGGGGAGAGUGGAAUUCCAUGUGUAGCGGUGAAAUGCGUAGAUAUAUGGAGGAACACCGGUGGCGAAAGCGGCUCUCUGGUCUGUAACCGACGCUGAGGCUCGAAAGCGUGGGGAGCGAACAGGAUUAGAUACCCUGGUAGUCCACGCCGUAAACGAUGAGUGCUAGGUGUUGGAUCCUUUCCGGGAUUCAGUGCCGCAGCUAACGCAUUAAGCACUCCGCCUGGGGAGUACGACCGCAAGGUUGAAACUCAAAGGAAUUGACGGGGGCCCGCACAAGCGGCGGAGCAUGUGGUUUAAUUCGAAGCAACGCGAAGAACCUUACCAGGUCUUGACAUCCCGAUGCUAUUUCUAGAGAUAGAAGGUUACUUCGGUACAUCGGUGACAGGUGGUGCAUGGUUGUCGUCAGCUCGUGUCGUGAGAUGUUGGGUUAAGUCCCGCAACGAGCGCAACCCCUAUUGUUAGUUGCCAUCAUUCAGUUGGGCACUCUAGCGAGACUGCCGGUAAUAAACCGGAGGAAGGUGGGGAUGACGUCAAAUCAUCAUGCCCCUUAUGACCUGGGCUACACACGUGCUACAAUGGUUGGUACAACGAGUUGCGAGUCGGUGACGGCAAGCUAAUCUCUUAAAGCCAAUCUCAGUUCGGAUUGUAGGCAGCAACUCGCCUACAUGAAGUCGGAAUCGCUAGUAAUCGCGGAUCAGCACGCCGCGGUGAAUACGUUCCCGGGCCU